GAAAACAAAAGGAAACCGGCGGAGAGAAAAGAGGAAACGAGGUGGAGGCGCAUGGGGAAGGGGGAGGGAGGGAGGGAAGGAGGAGGCGGCGGCUUAGGGGCGGAGAGGGCGGGCUGGAGGGAUGGCCGAGAGGGCGGGGAUAGGGGAGAGGAGCAGCUACCAAAAGCGACGGGAGAAGGCUGGAGAUGGAACACGUUGCGCUGAAGUUUGGCGCUGACUCGAGAGAGAGGGGAGACAGAGGACUAGGAGAGAGGAAGGGACAAGCAGCGAUCACUCCUCAGUGACCCGCCCCUCCAGCCAAGCGCCCCAGGACUGGCCCGUCAUUCAUGCCCCCACCCUUCCCAGACCAGACUCUAUUACGAAGGCGGGGCCGCGAUGUAGGAGGCACCACGGCUGGACACCUCCCUCCAGCGCGCGCCUUAUGGUCCUUCCCCUCCCUUCUCCAGCCUCCUUACCUCCGACUUCUCACCUGAGCACUGCGGAGGAGGGAGAAGGGAGGAAGAAGGAGGAAAGAGGGAGGGUUAGGGGCGACUGGGGAGGUGGUUCCUGUAGCUCCGGCUCACUUGGUACGCGCCUGCCCCGCCCCUGCCCCGCCCCCGUCCCCAGCCUCUGCACUGAGCCUCUGCAGCAGGCAGGAAGUCCUGAACAGCCCGGCCUCGGGAACUGGGCGAGGGGUGGGUUCCUUGAGCCUAGAAAGCGAGGAACACCCAGCUGGAGCUCUCUGGAGCGUAGACCAUCCUCCUCAGGUUCAAGUUUCUUCUCAGGGAAGAAGAAGGACUUCUUUCUAGACUGCAUGACAUUGAGUCACAUACUGGUAUGAAUGAAAAUGGCUCUCAGGAUAAGGAGACAAGCUCACAUGAAUAUUAAAAUUAAAGUCAUGUUGACACUGAAUUUUGGGGAGGAAUAUGAAAGAGCUCUGCCUGAGGUCAGCUUGAAGAGAACUUUAAAGCUAGAAGCCACCUCAGAGGUCAGCUAGUCCUAGACUCUCAUUUUACAGAAGGGGAAACUGAAGCUUUAAGAGGGGAAGGGGCUUUGUUAUAGUCACACAAGUAGUACCAGAACUGGUCCUCUGUCUCCAAAUACAGGGAUAUUUCUCCUUUACUACAUUGCUUCUUCACAUAUUUGUCUUUGGUCUUGCUCUAUGACCCUUCUCUUCUCCCAUCCCCAUACAUUUUUUUUAAAAUCAUACAGCCCUGUUCUAUUAAAAAAUCAUGAGUGGUCAUGUAUGAGUCCCCUGUGUUGAAGGGGAUCACAUGCAUCAAACAGUUCAAUCCUCAGGUUGUCAAAGAGACUGCUCCUUGGGGGCAGCUAGGUGGUGCAGUAGAUAGAGUACCAGCCCUGGAGUCAGGAGAACCUGAGUUCAAAUGUGACGUCAGACACUUGAUACUUACUGGCUUUGUGACUAUGGGCAAAAUACUUAACUCCAUUUGCCACACACACACACACACACACACACACACACACACACACGCACACGAUAAGCUUCUUGCCAGAAGACUCAUUUUUUUAUACCUUGCACCUGUGCUAAGUACACUUGUGCAGAAUCUCAAAAAUUGGAUACUGAGGUCUUUUUUAGUCCCAUGUGUAGAAGAUCAGCUGAAAUAUCUUGAUUGAUGAGAGAUUGAGCCCAAACCUCCUUAGCCCACCACAUCUAGUGAGCUCCAGACCAGGCUUUACAUCCUAUCCAGCUGUCUGCCUAGGCCAUCUUGCCACAUGUCCUGCUGCAGCCCUGGUUCUGAAAUGGCAUCCUCUGGAAGAAGUUAUCAAAUCCAGCCAUCAUUUUCUAGGUAAGGAAACUGCGAUUUUGAGAAAAAUUAAGU
This is a long non-coding RNA of Phascolarctos cinereus (koala), 1820 nucleotides long. Lineage: Eukaryota; Metazoa; Chordata; Mammalia; Diprotodontia; Phascolarctidae. The record is from Ensembl.